AAGUCGUAACAAGGUUUCCGUAGGUGAACCUGCGGAAGGAUCAUUACCAAAUCCAAAAAAAAACUUUCUAUCAACACCCCAAUGUGAACUGAGAAUGGUUUCGUCCCUCCGAAUUCUUCUCUUCUUCGGAAGAAAGGGAGGAGGGAUGUUCAAACACAUUUUUUUUUCAACCCCUUUUCAACCAUUAAAAACCCAUUUUUUUAAUGCUGAAAGCAAACAAAAAUACGAAACAUGAGACAACUUUUAACGGUGGAUCUCUUGGCUCGU
This 267-nucleotide unclassified non-coding RNA is filed under the name fungal sp. RNAcentral describes it as "partial internal transcribed spacer region". The stretch from base 1 to 46 matches the Rfam family "Eukaryotic small subunit ribosomal RNA", at positions 1786 to 1831 of the family's 1831-position model. Lineage: Eukaryota; Fungi. The record is from RNAcentral.